AGGACAACAUUGCAUUUCGGAUAAGGGCUAUUCGGAAACAAUAAUAUGGGUGAGCUAUUAGCCAUGCUGCUUUUGUUUGGGAAAUUCGACAGUUGUUUUGCAGACAUGAACACCCCCCACCGCCCCCCACCAAACGGAAGAUGUUAACUACUUGACAGUGGAGACCCAGGCCUCCUGGAGUCUCAGGCCUGAUAACGUUGACCCCUGUGACCACACCCUGUUACCUCACCAUCUGCCAGUCAGAGGACCGUGCACCAGCAUGCAGACCCCAGAUGUGUUGGAACCGGAAGGCUGAUGAUGCUGACUCCCAUUACCCCUGGAGAAGAGAACAACAACCCCUUCCAGUAUUCUUUCCUGGAGAAUUCCAUGGACAGAGGAGCCUGGUGGGCUACAGUUCAAGGAGUUGCAAAGGGUCGGACACGACUGAGCUCACCCACAGUCCCAUUACCUCACUACCAACCAAUCAGAAGAACGCCCACGAGCUGAUCACGCCCUCCUUGAUCCAUUACUAUAAAACUCCUCACUUCCCCCUCCAGGUUUGGGACACAGCUUUGAGGGCAUCAUCCUGUUGUGGCCCCUUUUGCCUGGCAAAGCAAUAAAGCUAC
This is a long non-coding RNA of Cervus elaphus (red deer), 605 nucleotides long. RefSeq lists it as uncharacterized. The transcript is spliced from 3 exons. Lineage: Eukaryota; Metazoa; Chordata; Mammalia; Artiodactyla; Cervidae. The record is from RefSeq and is a predicted model, not a curated record.